This 877-nucleotide long non-coding RNA is filed under the name Homo sapiens (human). RNAcentral describes it as "non-protein coding lnc-LARP1B-1:9". Lineage: Eukaryota; Metazoa; Chordata; Mammalia; Primates; Hominidae. The record is from RNAcentral.
CUAUCUUGUCCUUUAUUAUCCAUUUAAUCCUAUCCUUUUUUUGAAACCCUAACAGUCAUUAUUGUUGUGCUAAUCAGCUGCCUUUGCUUUCAGAUCCAUUUCCUGCCCUUCUUUUAUUCUACUCUGUAUUACAGCCAACCACAUUUCCAGGCUCCCUUGUCCUCUGCUAUCUAGGAGUAUGAUGGCCAAUGGAUCCAAAACCUAUCCUAUAUCUACAUGUUGGUGGCCACAUUAAUCUGACAUCUGACAGCAAGAGCGAUGAUUGGGUUCACUGGAAAUCUUUGUGAAGUACGAGUGAAGUCCUUGUGAAGUCAGAGUUUCCUCUUCAUGCCUCUACUCCUAUGCAGUUUGACCUCUCAGUGUGCAGCUGGUGAUAGAUGGAAACCCUUGUUCAUAAGCUUUGUGGCACUGUCGGCAGGAUGAGGGGACUUCUGGAUCCUCACUGGUCACUGUGGCAGAGUGGUUGGUGUUGUCUGCUCCCUAGACAGGAACCCACUGAAGAAUCUGACAUUUUUUGAUAUGCUGGCAUUCAUUGUUACAGCCCAUCAUCCCAGCCAUCAAUCCAGGACAUGGGGUCUGUGCCCACGGUGGGAAGGAGGAGGGGGAAGCUGGCUUUGUUCUGACGUUGGGCUUCUUCUGCUCCACCAGUACUUUCUGUGGGGGAAAUAGGUAAAGAAAUGGCUGUUCAGAUGAGAAGAUGUGUCAGUAAACUUUUGCUACAGUGAUGCUGCAAAACAAAUCACUGGUGACUUUCAGUGGCACACAGCAAUAAACAUUUAUUUAGCUCAGGGAUUGACAAUCUUUUUUUUUUUUUAAAGGGCCAAAUAGUAAAUAUUUUAGGUGUUUCAGGCCAUACAGUCUCUGAACUCUGAACUUG